Molecule: unclassified non-coding RNA, 684 nt
Filed under: Hevea brasiliensis (rubber tree)
Lineage: Eukaryota; Viridiplantae; Streptophyta; Magnoliopsida; Malpighiales; Euphorbiaceae
Source: RNAcentral
ACACAUGUGUACAAAAAAAUUCAACGCAAAUCUUUCUCAAUAAAGGGGGAUUGUAACCAUAUGCAGCUUUAAAACCUCUGAUGUUUACAGUUUUGAAGUGUUGGGGAUUAUGUUCCUGAACUGCUAACUGCACCAUAUUCAAAUUUUAAGGUGGAACUUUGUUUGAUGAAUAUUAAUUUGAUUUCACAAACUUAAUAUACGUUAAAACUGCAAGAACAAGUUCCUCAGACUUGGUAAACCUCAGGAACAUUUUCAGUUUUCAAUGCUUUCUUGGUGGCCAUCACAAAUACGCUAACAUGAGCAUUAUACUUGCUAUGUGUUUUCACUUGCAUUAUCAAGAUAGUGAUCAAGAAUAGCAUUUCUUAACUUUCAUGUGAGAAACAAAAAUGGGGAAAAAAUUUGCAUAACAUAGAGCAAAGAAGUGGAUGCAUUUGAAUGUUUUUUCCUUCUAAAAAUUUCAUCUUAAACCACUUUCAGUGACUAGGGUAGAAUGUAAGAUCUAACAAGAAGGCGAUGAUGAUAAUAGUAGUAAUAAAAAUAAUGAAUCUGUUAUAUAAUCCUUGCAUUCAUGCUUUGUUUCUCUAAGUGUUUCGCGAAUUAGAGAUUGCUGUUCUUCACCAAUGCAUCUAUUUGGAUGUUGCAGGGAUUGAGAUGUCCAUUGGUGCGAAAAAGUAACUUGUGAAG